AAAUUGAAGAGUUUGAUCAUGGCUCAGAUUGAACGCUGGCGGCAGGCCUAACACAUGCAAGUCGAACGGUAACAGGAAGCAGCUUGCUGCUUCGCUGACGAGUGGCGGACGGGUGAGUAAUGUCUGGGAAACUGCCUGAUGGAGGGGGAUAACUACUGGAAACGGUGGCUAAUACCGCAUAACGUCGCAAGACCAAAGAGGGGGACCUUCGGGCCUCUUGCCAUCAGAUGUGCCCAGAUGGGAUUAGCUAGUUGGUGAGGUAACGGCUCACCAAGGCGACGAUCCCUAGCUGGUCUGAGAGGAUGACCAGCCACACUGGAACUGAGACACGGUCCAGACUCCUACGGGAGGCAGCAGUGGGGAAUAUUGCACAAUGGGCGCAAGCCUGAUGCAGCCAUGCCGCGUGUAUGAAGAAGGCCUUCGGGUUGUAAAGUACUUUCAGCGGGGAGGAAGGUGUUGCGGUUAAUAACCGCAGCAAUUGACGUUACCCGCAGAAGAAGCACCGGCUAACUCCGUGCCAGCAGCCGCGGUAAUACGGAGGGUGC
This 545-nucleotide ribosomal RNA is filed under the name Salmonella enterica. RNAcentral describes it as "bacterial SSU rRNA". It matches the Rfam family "Bacterial small subunit ribosomal RNA", at positions 1 to 535 of the family's 1533-position model. RNAcentral also lists the same sequence under 4 other names. Lineage: Bacteria; Pseudomonadati; Pseudomonadota; Gammaproteobacteria; Enterobacterales; Enterobacteriaceae. The record is from RNAcentral.